RNAcentral lists this ribosomal RNA (590 nucleotides) under Lumbricus castaneus. RNAcentral describes it as "partial 16S ribosomal RNA". It matches the Rfam family "Bacterial large subunit ribosomal RNA", at positions 1920 to 2814 of the family's 2925-position model. The record is from RNAcentral. Lineage: Eukaryota; Metazoa; Annelida; Clitellata; Crassiclitellata; Lumbricidae.
UAAUUCAACGGCCGCGGUAUCCUAACCGUGCAAAGGUAGCAUAAUCAUUUGCCCAUUAAUUGUGGGCUAGAAUGAAAGGAUUAACGAAAUAAAGACUGUCUCUGCAAGACACCUAAAAAUUACCCUCUAACCGAAGAGCGUUAGAUAUAAUCGAAGGACAAGAAGACCCUAUAGAGCUUAAUUUAAACAAAUGUAAAAAAUUUACUAAAAUUCGGUUGGGGCGACCGAGGAAAUGAUUAUCAUCCUCAGAUAAAAGAUAAAUAAAUCUAACUAAUGACCCUUAACUAAGAUCACUAAAACAAGCUACCUUAGGGAUAACAGGCUAAUCUCACUAGAGAGUCCUUAUUAAUAGUGAGGUUUGGCACCUCGAUGUUGGCUUAGGGAAUCUAUGUGGCGCAAAAGCCACAUAAAGAUGGUUUGUUCAACCAAUAACACCCUACAUGAGCUGAGUUCAGACCGGCGUAAGCCAGGUUAGUUUCUAUCCUCGACUGCACUAUCUAUUUAUAGUACGAAAGGACCUAAAUUAGAGUAAUAAUUAUAUGAAAAGAGUAAAUAUAAAAUAAUAUAAACAUAAAUAAUCAUAAACUAUG